Molecule: long non-coding RNA, 713 nt
Organism: Eptesicus fuscus (big brown bat)
Lineage: Eukaryota; Metazoa; Chordata; Mammalia; Chiroptera; Vespertilionidae
Exons: 2
Source: RefSeq, a predicted model, not a curated record
AAAAGGUUGCUUUAUGCUCUCGAGCAACCUGUACUAACGUACGUCAGGCUUUUAAUUCUGUAUAAUGGAAUUACGUUUUAUCUCUGUUGGUGUUUUCUUUAGGGGGAGAAGUUUCGGAACCCAAGCAGAGAAGUUAAAGGUGUCGCGUUUUUGGUGGUGGUUUUGCACCGAUGCUUACUUUUAAACAUACACCCAUCUGUAGAAUUGGUGGUGUAUGUACAGCGGCGCUUUGGGUUUUCGUGUGGAGAGGCACAGAAAAGUUACACUCGGGAGAGUCCUGACAUUGAAGGAUGUUCCCUCCACACUCCGGUCCCUUGUGGAAGGGAUUGCACAACACGCUAACCAGAAAGCUUAAAAAAAAAAAAAAAAAAAAGGGCAAAAAUAAGCUCUGAAUUCUUAUUGUUUAUUACCGCUUACUAAACCAUGAGAUGUGCCCCUACCGUGUUGUGUUGUUUCAAGCUGUCUCCGUGGGUAGUCGGAAGAGAAAACGUGAUUUCUUAAUCUGUUGGGACAUUAUCUACGUGCAGUUUGAAAAAGUGGUAAUGGCCUGGGUUUGAGUGGCCAGGGAUGCCUCUCCCGGGGAAUUCAGCCUGGCGGGGGGAGUGUUUUUUUUGUUGUAAGGAGACAUGCCCUUUCUGAUUCAGCAAGAGCUGUUUCCAUGUUUUCUCCUAUAGCAAACUGAACAUUUCUCUUGGAAAAAAAAGAAAAGAAAA